UACGGGGGGGAGCAAGCGUUGUUCGGAUUUACUGGGCGUAAAGGGCGCGUAGGCGGCGUAACAAGUCACUUGUGAAAUCUCCGGGCUUAACCCGGAGCGGCCAAGUGAUACUGUUGUGCUAGAGUGCGGAAGGGGCUACUGGAAUUCUCGGUGUAGCGGUGGAAUGCGUAGAGAUCUGCAAGAACACCCGUGGCGAAGGCGGCCGACUGGGCCGGAUCCGACGCUGAGGCGCGAAAGCGUGGGGAGCAAACAGG
This 254-nucleotide ribosomal RNA is filed under the name uncultured bacterium. Its description in RNAcentral is "partial 16S ribosomal RNA". It matches the Rfam family "Bacterial small subunit ribosomal RNA", at positions 524 to 776 of the family's 1533-position model. The record is from RNAcentral.